This 462-nucleotide ribosomal RNA is filed under the name uncultured bacterium. RNAcentral's name for it is "bacterial SSU rRNA". It matches the Rfam family "Bacterial small subunit ribosomal RNA", at positions 917 to 1382 of the family's 1533-position model. The record is from RNAcentral.
GGGCCCGCACAAGCAGUGGAUUAUGUGGUUUAAUUCGAAGCAACGCGAAGAACCUUACCAGGUCUUGACAUCUACCUAAUCGGUCGGAGAUGACCGAGUGCCUUUCGGGGAAAGGUAAGACAGGUGGUGCAUGGUUGUCGUCAGCUCGUGUCGUGAGAUGUUGGGUUAAGUCCCGCAACGAGCGCAACCCUUGCCAUUAGUUGCUACGCAAGAGCACUCUAAUGGGACCGCUAUCGACAAGAUGGAGGAAGGCGGGGACGACGUCAAAUCAUCAUGCCCCUUAUGACCUGGGCCACACACGUAAUACAAUGGCCGUCAACAACGGGAAGCGAAGGAGCAAUCCGGAGCAAAACCUACAAAAACGGUCUCAGUUCGGAUUGCAGGCUGCAACUCGCCUGCAUGAAGUUGGAAUUGCUAGUAAUCGCGGAUCAGCAUGCCGCGGUGAAUACGUUCCCGGGCCUU